Long non-coding RNA from Gallus gallus (chicken), 817 nucleotides. The record is from Ensembl. Lineage: Eukaryota; Metazoa; Chordata; Aves; Galliformes; Phasianidae.
UGAGGAUCACCUCCUUUGGCCUGCUGGCCACACUCCUUUUAAUGCACCCCAGGAUCCCAUUGUCCUUCUUGGCUACUAAGGGUACGCCGCUGGCUCAUUUCCUACUUGCUACUGUGCUAGGACCACCAGCUCCACAGAGAUCCUCUCCAACAGGAAAGAAAAAUAACCCUCGCUUCACAAUCACACCUUAUUCAUGUCAUCACUUUUUGGCAGUACAUACAUUUUGAACAAUUACUGUAAAGGAUGAAGUACAGGAAGAGUAAAGUUUCAUCAAAAAUCUCUGAUGAACCCCUUGAGACCUCACUAAGGACUUUUGGGGAAGUUCCUGUCUAAAAGCUCGCAUGAAGUAAGUCAGAGCUCUUGUCGCUUCGGAUUUCGCUACUGUAAAGUCCCUCUGGAGGGACCACAUGACGAGCGUAAUUCACGCUUUCAGCUUUUGGACACCAGGCGUAUUUCUCGGGCAGAGCUCGCCGUGUGACUUCGGGGCGCCCACCUCCCAGCCCGCCCUCGCCGUGCAGCGGGCGACAUGUCCGCGUUCCGUGACCGCUGCGGGCAUCGUUCUCGUCUUCGGGGCAGACGUGCCGAACACACGCUCCCUCGUCCUUCGGUGCGUUCCUUCACUCAUCCAGCAGCGCCCUAAGCUCCCCGCCUUCCAAGCCCUCUGCUCCACCGACCGCUGUGAGCUUUCCUUUUGGCUACGCAGCCAGCGCAACGGGCAUUUCUAUCUUUCAAGCUCGCGAUUUGCGAUACUCCCACCCGACACACGCCUCGACCGCGGACACAGAACGCGGGGAGGGGCGGGGCGGCCGGCACGGGG